CAGCAGCCGCGGGAAUACAGAGGUCUCAAGCGUUGUUCGGAUUCAUUGGGCGUAAAGGGUGCGUAGGUGGCGGUGUAAGUCUAACGUGAAAUCUCGGGGCUCAACCUCGAAAUUGCGUCGGAUACUGCAUUGCUAGAGGAUUGUAGAGGAGAGUGGAAUUCAUGGUGUAGCAGUGAAAUGCGUAGAUAUCAUGAGGAAGACCAGUUGCGAAGGCGACUCUCUGGGCAAUUCCUGACACUGAGGCACGAAGGCUAGGGGAGCAAACGGGAUUAGAUACCCCUGUAGUCCCUGUCUCUUAUAA
RNAcentral lists this ribosomal RNA (301 nucleotides) under uncultured bacterium. RNAcentral's name for it is "partial 16S ribosomal RNA". It matches the Rfam family "Bacterial small subunit ribosomal RNA", at positions 509 to 809 of the family's 1533-position model. The record is from RNAcentral.